GCGCUCGCUGGUGGCGUGGGGCGUCAGCAGCAGCACCUUGCUCCCCUCCUUGGCGGACAUCGCUGGGCGCUGCCGGGCUCCGGCGGCGGUGCUGGGCGCGGCAGCGCCUUCGUCCGCCCGUCCGCCGGCGGCUGGCGGGGCGCGGCGGGGCGGGCGGGGGCGGCUACAGGCGCCGGGCGGCGGCGGCCCGGCGGAACAUGGCGGCGGGCGCGGCUCGCGGCUCCUGGCGCAGCGCGGGGACGGUCCGCCCCGGGCCCGGCAUGCACCGCGCCGCCGCCCGCCGGGCACCGCGGGAGCGCGCGGGACUCCCGGCCCCGACCCGGACCGCGCCGACUCUCCCGCCCGUGCCGGGGCGGCGGCGCGGGGCGGGGCGGGGAACGCGGCCCGGCGCCUCCCGGCACGGCCCGGGGAGGCGAGUGAGGCGUCCGGAGCGCCCCCGCCCCGGCACGGGCGGGCGGCGGGCCGGGACUGAGGGGGCGGUGCGGCGGGCGGCCCGGCCCCCAGCGACCCCGCACCGCCGGGAGAGGGCCGGCGGCCACCAUGGAGAGCUCCGCGGGGCCGCCCCGGGGGCCGGGGGAGCCAUUUUGUGAGGGGGCGAAGUCCUCGGUGCCCCCCGGGCACGACCGCAGAGCGAGGAGUCCCCCUGUCCUCAGUGGGCGCCUCUCGCCCACAGCGCGGCUGGAAGGGACCCCACGGCCUCACCUGUCGGUGCAGGGCGGGCCGAGGGCAGGACAGGGAGGAGAAAAUAGAAAAUUCCCCCCCUCCCCCCAAGGAAGAACCUGGGCAUGGCUUGCAGCAAGCUCCCAGCACCAGAUAGUUCAGCCAAACUCAGCUCCACGCUUGAAGCUGAACAAGCAUUGAGAGCAGGAGCUGCCCCCUCCUCGUCCCCGAUCCCCCUCAGAGCCGCCCGGGCAGAGAGCGGGGCAGAGGCUCAGCACCACGGCCUGGUCCUGGCAAGUGCAGAUCACAGGCCUUAUGUCACACACAAACCCUGCAAAGUUGGUGCAACAGGUCCAGCCACAUACAGUGUAUAAGGCAGGACUUUGCCUUGGCAGAAAGGGAAUGGAGCCAUUUGGGAUGCAGAUGAUCCUUGACUUCCUUCUGCUCCAUCUCGAAGAAGUACCCGCUGAAGCUGCAUGCAAAAGCUGUUUAAAUGAAAAGGUGCUAUGUGAAAACCUAGACUUUUCUGACACCUCUCCUGACUGAGGCCUGUAAGGAGGGCGGAUGAUCAGAACAGUCUCUUCUGACUCUAACAGCGACAUACCUUAAAAACUGGCACAAUGCAAUGUCCCAGAAUCAUCUAAUUACCCAACAAGAACUUUUUGAAAACUAAGAAGGAAAUUGAAUCACAGGAGAGAGAGAUAUAUUCCAGAUCCCAAGAGAAAGAUGCACAGAGCAAAUCUUGCAGAGAUAAACCAGGUCUGAGAGGGGAAGACGUGCUAUAAGCAGAAGAUGAAGACAAAACUUUAAAGUUGUUCCAUUUCAUUGACUCUCACUAGUGACUGUUUGAAACUGUUCUUUCUGAAUUGCCAGAAACGGUAUUGUGAUUGGCAUAAACUGCGAGACUGCUUCAGAACAAGGCACGUUUUAUUUUAAAUACCUUUUGACAUGUUGCUGUACUGAGUUUCAAUAAGAAUACUUGAAAGCUUUCUUUAAAGAGGACAUAAGACUUCCCUGCUUCCCAAGUAAUUUUUUUAUGGCAAAUCUUAUUAUAUGAAGGCAUCUUUCAAAAAGGUUGAAACCAUGGUCUUAAGUCAUUUUCUCCAGCAUCACGAAAUCAUUAUCACUGCAAUACUCCAACUGCCAAUGUCAUCCAGUACCAAGAAGCUGCACUGACUUAAAAAGAGAAAAACAAAAACCAAAUUAUCAGAUAGUUGCUGGUAUAAAUGACAAGCUACUUUACUACUACAGUCUAUCCUGUCACACUCCCUUCCUGCACACACUUCCCACCUUCCCCAAUAAACUCUCUGAACAGGCUGAGGAAGCACAGCUAUGUUAGAAAAGCUAGUCAAGGCCACAGUCAUUACUUGCAUCAUAUCACAACGGUGAAAAACAGGUUAAAGCAACACAACCUGACUCCAGAAUUUCAUGUGAUUUUUAAAUACCAAACCCGAUCAGCCACAUCAGGUGGUCACACUAUUUUAAAACUCACACCUCUGGAGUGAUAGUACCUCAAACUCUUCUUUAGGUUCCUCAAAACAUCACUCACUUUCUCUGCUUAAAGCAUUCCUUCCCCCGCUCUUAUUAUCUAGUUCAAACUUUUCCUUCCUUAGCCUUAAGCGAUUGCUCUUUCUCCUACCAUCUGAGACCAAGCAAUUCCCUCUCUUCAUUUAUCUUACUACCUUGACGAUAUUAAUAGAGUAUUAAUAGUCACCUCUACUCACUCUAAAAAUUGAGUUCACUCUGCUUUUUGCUGCCCUCCUUUGUGUUCUCUCAUUUCCUCAGUGCCUCCACAAGCAAGAGACUUAACUGACAAAGUAUUCAAGGUAAGCAGGUCUGUGUAUAGGACCUUAUAAAAAAACCAACCACCUUAAUGCUCUGUAAUAGGAACUAUGAUAUAAACAAACCAGUGUGAUACUUUUUUUUUUUAAUUAACUUUGAUGAUUCUAUGUUGAUCCAUGAACAUGAUGUCCUACAGAUCGGAGAAAUCCCAUUAAUCAAUUUUAAAGGAAAGUGUGAGUGGAAUAAACCAACAAAAGGCAGAUAUAUGAUGACUCAGUUGCUGAAGAGUAUACACACUCUUUUGUCACAAACACAUCUGGCCAUUGUUACUGCAUGGCCAAAGCACAACUGUGCUUUCAGCCUACCCCUCUGCACCCUUUUCUCAAGCUCCUGAGACAGAACACCAUUAAGUAUUAGUAAGAAUUAACUGUUACAUUGGGACUGGACAGGGUUGAAAAAAGGGUUGAACAAAAAAUGACCCUCAUAAUUGGACAAACCUGAGGUCACGAAGAAGGAAUGCAGAAAAGGGUAUCCCAAAAUAACCCCACAUAAACAUUUAAAAGCUUUUCCACUACAUAUUUAUAUGCAAAUAGAAAAUUAUAAAACCAUUGGAAAGACACGGGCUUUCCCCCCCACCUCUGCCCACCACGAGAAGACAUUACCAUUUUAUUUUCUGGUCUGCACUACGUAGCUCUUCACAUGAAUUACAUCCUUGUGUUCAAUACAGUAAUUUACUGUGAAAAAUCAGUUAAGACUCCCACACCCAUACCUUCCUCUCCCUCUUGAGUAAGGGGUCAAAUACCUGUUAUACUUGCUAUAUUAAAUAGCUUCUUUGAAGCCUCUAAGGGCAGUUUCCAAAACCAGUCUAGAGCACUGAAAUGGUUGUUUAAUAUCAACUGAGAUUUUUUUAAUCCAUCUGGAGAAACUAACUGAAUUACAAAAAAAUAGAAAUGUAUGCAUUAUUUAAUUCUAUUAGGAACAAUUAAUACAUUGUGUCAUGAACAAUUAGUUGUUUUUUCUUAAAUGUACUUAAAAAUACCCAACUUUAAAAUCUUGUAGCUGACUUGACUGUCGUAUAGUGUUCACUUGCAUUUGAUAGAUAUAUUUUAUAGCUUCAAAAAAGUCAGUCUGAACCUUUACAAAAAGCCAUAGUAUGCUGUAUUGGACCUACAGGAGUUUGAAAGCAAUUGAUUUUCAAGUAACAAACCAUGCAGUUCCAUAACAGAACCCAGAGAUUUUUUUAAAAUAGUACAGAAGCUGUGAUGGUAGGUUAUAGUCAUAUUUAU
Pipra filicauda (Wire-tailed manakin) is the source of this 3728-nucleotide long non-coding RNA. RefSeq lists it as uncharacterized. NCBI's taxonomy places the organism in Eukaryota, Metazoa, Chordata, Aves, Passeriformes, Pipridae. The transcript has 3 exons. The record is from RefSeq and is a predicted model, not a curated record.